RNAcentral lists this ribosomal RNA (253 nucleotides) under uncultured bacterium. RNAcentral describes it as "partial 16S ribosomal RNA". It matches the Rfam family "Bacterial small subunit ribosomal RNA", at positions 524 to 776 of the family's 1533-position model. The record is from RNAcentral.
GACAGAGGUGCCGAGCGUUAGGCGGAAUCACUGGGCUUAAAGCGUGUGUAGGCGGGCGGGCAAGUACCUUGUGAAAUCCCACGGCUCAACCGUGGAACGGCUGGGUAUACUGCCUGUCUUGAGCCAACUAGGGGCGAGCGGAACAGACGGUGGAGCGGUGAAAUGCGUAGAUAUCGUCUGGAACGCCGAAGGUGAAAACAGCUCGCUGGGGUUGUGCUGACGCUGAGGCGCGAAAGCUAGGGGAGCAAACGGG